CGGCGCGACAUGUUAAAAAACCCUCCCCCUUUUUUACAAAAUACUCAAUAACUCAAAAAUGAAAUUUUGAAUCAUCACCAAAAAGUAUACAGAUAUUAAGAUUAAUAUAACUAAGAAGUGUGUAAAGUUUUAAGCAAUAAUCAAGAAUCGUUUUUGAGAUACGGUGCGACAUGUGAAAAAAAACACACCCCUGUUUUAGUUACAAAGCGCCGUAACUCAAAAAGUUUAAAUCUUAUUUUCACCAAAAAGUAUACAGAUCAUUUGACCAUCAUAAAAAACAACUAUAUUAAGUUUCAUGAAAUUUAGAUAAGUCGUUCUCAAGUUACGGUGCAACAUGUUUACGACGGACAGACAGACGAACAGACAGACAGACAGACAGACAGACAGACAGACGGACA
RNAcentral lists this long non-coding RNA (398 nucleotides) under Mytilus galloprovincialis (Mediterranean mussel). The record is from RNAcentral. Lineage: Eukaryota; Metazoa; Mollusca; Bivalvia; Mytilida; Mytilidae.